CUAAGUUGAAUGACUGCCCCCAAAGUGUCUGUGUCCCAUUACCCACAACUUGUGACUAUCUUACUCCACACGACUCAAACUAAUCGCAUGAGUCCUUAAAAAUGGAAAGACUUUUCCCUGGCUACAACCAAUGGGGGAGAUAGCAGCAUGAGAAGGAUGGACUGCCCCCCGAAUCCUCAUUCUGAAAUGUAGGAGGCUGUGUACAAGAAAAUCUGCCAGCAGCUCCCAUGAGCUAGGAAACAGAUCCUUCCCUACAGCCUCCAGAAAGGAAUGCAGCCUUGAUCUUAGCCCAGUGAAACCUGUGUCAGACUUCCAACCUACUGAACUAAUGAAAAUCUGGUGACGAUAAGACACCUUUGACAACAUGGAAGAGAGUAACACCCUGAAGAACAAUAAAACAGCAAAAUGAAAAAAAAAAAAAAAAAGGCUGGCUCUCUGAAGGACCUUGUGUAGCAGAGCUGCUUGACUACACUGGAUCUCAC
Canis lupus familiaris (dog) is the source of this 482-nucleotide long non-coding RNA. RefSeq lists it as uncharacterized. Lineage: Eukaryota; Metazoa; Chordata; Mammalia; Carnivora; Canidae. The transcript has 2 exons. The record is from RefSeq and is a predicted model, not a curated record.